AGGACGAACGCUGGCGGCGUGCUUAACACAUGCAAGUCGAACGAGAAUCAUAGGAAGGAGAUUUCGGGUCAACGGACUAUGAGGACAGUGGCGGACGGGUGAGUAACGCGUGAGGAACCUGCCUUUCAGAGGGGGACAACAGUUGGAAACGACUGCUAAUACCGCAUAAUGCAUAGGAGCCGCAUGACUCCUAUGCCAAAGAUUUAUCGCUGAAAGAUGGCCUCGCGUCUGAUUAGCUGGUUGGCGGGGUAACGGCCCACCAAGGCGACGAUCAGUAGCCGGCCUGAGAGGGUGAACGGCCACAUUGGGACUGAGACACGGCCCAAACUCCUACGGGAGGCAGCAGUGGGGAAUAUUGCACAAUGGGGGAAACCCUGAUGCAGCGACGCCGCGUGAGUGAAGAAGUAUUUCGGUAUGUAAAGCUCUAUCAGCAGGAAAGAAAAUGACGGUACCUGACUAAGAAGCCCCGGCUAACUACGUG
This 481-nucleotide ribosomal RNA is filed under the name uncultured bacterium. RNAcentral describes it as "bacterial SSU rRNA". It matches the Rfam family "Bacterial small subunit ribosomal RNA", at positions 26 to 507 of the family's 1533-position model. The record is from RNAcentral.